RNAcentral lists this ribosomal RNA (2548 nucleotides) under Escherichia coli. RNAcentral describes it as "partial 23S ribosomal RNA". It matches the Rfam family "Bacterial large subunit ribosomal RNA", at positions 398 to 2925 of the family's 2925-position model. Lineage: Bacteria; Pseudomonadati; Pseudomonadota; Gammaproteobacteria; Enterobacterales; Enterobacteriaceae. The record is from RNAcentral.
UGUGAGCUCGAUGAGUAGGGCGGGACACGUGGUAUCCUGUCUGAAUAUGGGGGGACCAUCCUCCAAGGCUAAAUACUCCUGACUGACCGAUAGUGAACCAGUACCGUGAGGGAAAGGCGAAAAGAACCCCGGCGAGGGGAGUGAAAAAGAACCUGAAACCGUGUACGUACAAGCAGUGGGAGCACGCUUAGGCGUGUGACUGCGUACCUUUUGUAUAAUGGGUCAGCGACUUAUAUUCUGUAGCAAGGUUAACCGAAUAGGGGAGCCGAAGGGAAACCGAGUCUUAACUGGGCGUUAAGUUGCAGGGUAUAGACCCGAAACCCGGUGAUCUAGCCAUGGGCAGGUUGAAGGUUGGGUAACACUAACUGGAGGACCGAACCGACUAAUGUUGAAAAAUUAGCGGAUGACUUGUGGCUGGGGGUGAAAGGCCAAUCAAACCGGGAGAUAGCUGGUUCUCCCCGAAAGCUAUUUAGGUAGCGCCUCGUGAAUUCAUCUCCGGGGGUAGAGCACUGUUUCGGCAAGGGGGUCAUCCCGACUUACCAACCCGAUGCAAACUGCGAAUACCGGAGAAUGUUAUCACGGGAGACACACGGCGGGUGCUAACGUCCGUCGUGAAGAGGGAAACAACCCAGACCGCCAGCUAAGGUCCCAAAGUCAUGGUUAAGUGGGAAACGAUGUGGGAAGGCCCAGACAGCCAGGAUGUUGGCUUAGAAGCAGCCAUCAUUUAAAGAAAGCGUAAUAGCUCACUGGUCGAGUCGGCCUGCGCGGAAGAUGUAACGGGGCUAAACCAUGCACCGAAGCUGCGGCAGCGACACUAUGUGUUGUUGGGUAGGGGAGCGUUCUGUAAGCCUGUGAAGGUGUGCUGUGAGGCAUGCUGGAGGUAUCAGAAGUGCGAAUGCUGACAUAAGUAACGAUAAAGCGGGUGAAAAGCCCGCUCGCCGGAAGACCAAGGGUUCCUGUCCAACGUUAAUCGGGGCAGGGUGAGUCGACCCCUAAGGCGAGGCCGAAAGGCGUAGUCGAUGGGAAACAGGUUAAUAUUCCUGUACUUGGUGUUACUGCGAAGGGGGGACGGAGAAGGCUAUGUUGGCCGGGCGACGGUUGUCCCGGUUUAAGCGUGUAGGCUGGUUUUCCAGGCAAAUCCGGAAAAUCAAGGCUGAGGCGUGAUGACGAGGCACUACGGUGCUGAAGCAACAAAUGCCCUGCUUCCAGGAAAAGCCUCUAAGCAUCAGGUAACAUCAAAUCGUACCCCAAACCGACACAGGUGGUCAGGUAGAGAAUACCAAGGCGCUUGAGAGAACUCGGGUGAAGGAACUAGGCAAAAUGGUGCCGUAACUUCGGGAGAAGGCACGCUGAUAUGUAGGUGAAGUCCCUCGCGGAUGGAGCUGAAAUCAGUCGAAGAUACCAGCUGGCUGCAACUGUUUAUUAAAAACACAGCACUGUGCAAACACGAAAGUGGACGUAUACGGUGUGACGCCUGCCCGGUGCCGGAAGGUUAAUUGAUGGGGUUAGCCGCAAGGCGAAGCUCUUGAUCGAAGCCCCGGUAAACGGCGGCCGUAACUAUAACGGUCCUAAGGUAGCGAAAUUCCUUGUCGGGUAAGUUCCGACCUGCACGAAUGGCGUAAUGAUGGCCAGGCUGUCUCCACCCGAGACUCAGUGAAAUUGAACUCGCUGUGAAGAUGCAGUGUACCCGCGGCAAGACGGAAAGACCCCGUGAACCUUUACUAUAGCUUGACACUGAACAUUGAGCCUUGAUGUGUAGGAUAGGUGGGAGGCUUAGAAGUGUGGACGCCAGUCUGCAUGGAGCCGACCUUGAAAUACCACCCUUUAAUGUUUGAUGUUCUAACGUUGACCCGUAAUCCGGGUUGCGGACAGUGUCUGGUGGGUAGUUUGACUGGGGCGGUCUCCUCCUAAAGAGUAACGGAGGAGCACGAAGGUUGGCUAAUCCUGGUCGGACAUCAGGAGGUUAGUGCAAUGGCAUAAGCCAGCUUGACUGCGAGCGUGACGGCGCGAGCAGGUGCGAAAGCAGGUCAUAGUGAUCCGGUGGUUCUGAAUGGAAGGGCCAUCGCUCAACGGAUAAAAGGUACUCCGGGGAUAACAGGCUGAUACCGCCCAAGAGUUCAUAUCGACGGCGGUGUUUGGCACCUCGAUGUCGGCUCAUCACAUCCUGGGGCUGAAGUAGGUCCCAAGGGUAUGGCUGUUCGCCAUUUAAAGUGGUACGCGAGCUGGGUUUAGAACGUCGUGAGACAGUUCGGUCCCUAUCUGCCGUGGGCGCUGGAGAACUGAGGGGGGCUGCUCCUAGUACGAGAGGACCGGAGUGGACGCAUCACUGGUGUUCGGGUUGUCAUGCCAAUGGCACUGCCCGGUAGCUAAAUGCGGAAGAGAUAAGUGCUGAAAGCAUCUAAGCACGAAACUUGCCCCGAGAUGAGUUCUCCCUGACUCCUUGAGAGUCCUGAAGGAACGUUGAAGACGACGACGUUGAUAGGCCGGGUGUGUAAGCGCAGCGAUGCGUUGAGCUAACCGGUACUAAUGAACCGUGAGGCUUAACCUU